CUCUUAAUGUACUAAUUUUAAGUAAAAUCUGCUCAAUGAUUUUAAAUAGCCGCAGAAUUUCUGUGCUAAGGUAGCAUAAUCAUUUGCCUUUUAAUUAAAGGCUAGAAUGAACGAUUUAACAUUUUAAUUACUAUCCUAAUUGUUAAAGUAAAAAUUAUAUCAAGUAUAAAAAUAUACUUAUAACAAAAAUAGACGACAAGACCCUAUUGAACUUUACUUUAGUUUAGCUGGGGAAGCUAAAUAAUAAAUAUUUUAUUUACAAAGCCUAUAAAAAUGACCCAACAUAGUUGAUUAAAUGAACAAGUUACCAUAGGGAUAACAGUAUAAUUUUCUCUAUUACUCUUAUUAAAGAAAAAGAUUAUAACCUCGAUGUUGAAUUAUUACCCUUGUUGACGCAAGAGUUGACUAAGGAGGUCUGUUCGACCUUUAAAUUUUUACA
RNAcentral lists this ribosomal RNA (439 nucleotides) under Gelanor sp. GH1296. RNAcentral's name for it is "partial 16S ribosomal RNA". It matches the Rfam family "Bacterial large subunit ribosomal RNA", at positions 1831 to 2600 of the family's 2925-position model. Lineage: Eukaryota; Metazoa; Arthropoda; Arachnida; Araneae; Mimetidae. The record is from RNAcentral.